UCCCUAGUAACGGCGAGUGAAGCGGGAAGAGCUCAAAUUUAAAAUCUGGCGGUGCAUUCCCCUCCAGUUGUAGUCUAGAGAAGCGUCAUCCGCGCCGGACCAUGUACAAGUCUCUUGGAACAGAGCGUCAUAGAGGGUGAGAAUCCCGUCCUUGACAUGGACUCCCGGUGCUUUGCGUUGCGCUCUCGACGAGUCGAGUUGUUUGGGAAUGCAGCUCAAAACGGGUGGUAAAUUCCAUCUAAAGCUAAAUAUUGGCCGAGAGACCGAUAGGCGAACAAGUACCCCGUGAGGGAAAGAUGAAAAAGCACUUUGGAGAGAGAGUUAAACAGUACGUGAAAUUGUUUGGAAUGGAAACGCUUGAAGUCAGUCGCGUUCUCUGGGAUUUCAGCCUUGCUUCUGCUUGGUGCAUUUCCUAGUCUACGGGCCAGCAUGGAUUUCGACCGAUGGAAAAAGGCUUGGGGGAAUGUGGCACCUCCGGGUGUGUUAUAGCCCCUUGUCACACGCGUCGGUCGGGAUCGAGGACCUCAGUGCACGCUUCGGUUGUGCUUUGAUGCUGGCGUAAUGGCUUUAAACGACCCGUCUUGAAACACGGACCAAGGAGUCUAACAUGUCUGCGAGUGUUUGGGUGGAAAACCCGAGCGCGCAAUGAAAGUGAUAAGUUGGGAACCUCUCACGAGGGGCACCGACGCCCGGACCAGACCUUCUGUGACGGAUCCGAGGUAGAGCAUAUAUGUUGGGACCCGAAAGAUGGUGAACUAUGCCUGCAUAGGGUGAAGCCAGAGGAAACUCUGGUGGAGGCUCGUAGCGAUUCUGACGUGCAAAUCGAUCGUCAAAUGUGGGUAUAGGGGCGAAAGACUAAUCGAACCAUUUGGUAAACGCUACUCGGUGGUUAAGAGGCGUCCGAAAGGAUCAUCAGCCUAGUGAGCGUUGAGGCUCGCGACACUAUCAAAUUGCGGGGGACAUCCUAAAGCUUUUGCGACCAAGCACUCUGUGGAAACGCAGGUGUGGCCGAGUUAAUUGCCCUGGGUAUGGUAAAAACUGCAAAAGAUGUUACAAUGGACAACCCGCAGCCAAGUCCUAAGGGCCAUGCGAAUGGUCUAUGGAUGCAGUUCACAGACUAAAUGGUAGUGGGUGUGCAUCGAGUCGGCUCUUCGUCUGGCUCUGCAUGCUUAAGAUAUAGUCGGUCCUGCCGCGAAAGCGGACCGGUGGAUGAAGUUCAUGGUCCCUCAACUAAUGGCCAUGUUCAGGAGCCACUGGGUGCAGUUUUCGAUUAAGAAACU
RNAcentral lists this ribosomal RNA (1280 nucleotides) under Rhizoctonia fusispora. Its description in RNAcentral is "partial large subunit ribosomal RNA". It matches the Rfam family "Eukaryotic large subunit ribosomal RNA", at positions 77 to 1900 of the family's 3401-position model. The record is from RNAcentral. Lineage: Eukaryota; Fungi; Basidiomycota; Agaricomycetes; Cantharellales; Ceratobasidiaceae.